Molecule: ribosomal RNA, 279 nt
Filed under: uncultured bacterium
Lineage: Bacteria
Description: partial 16S ribosomal RNA
Rfam family: Bacterial small subunit ribosomal RNA
Source: RNAcentral
UGCCAGCCGCCGCGGUAAUACGGAGGGUGCAAGCGUUAUCCGGAUUUAUUGGGUUUAAAGGGUCCGCAGGCGGGAUUCUAAGUCAGUGGUGAAAGCCUACAGCUCAACUGUAGAACUGCCAUUGAUACUGGAAUUCUUGAGUGUGGUUGAAGUAGACGGAAUAUGUCAUGUAGCGGUGAAAUGCAUAGAUAUGACAUAGAACACCAAUUGCGUAGGCAGUUUACUAAACCAUUACUGACGCUCAUGGACGAAAGUGUGGGGAGCGAACAGGAUUAGAUA